Molecule: ribosomal RNA, 317 nt
Filed under: uncultured bacterium
Lineage: Bacteria
Description: bacterial SSU rRNA
Rfam family: Bacterial small subunit ribosomal RNA
Source: RNAcentral
GAUGAACGCUAGCUACAGGCUUAACACAUGCAAGUCGAGGGGCAGCGGGAUUGAAGCUUGCUUCAAUUGCCGGCGACCGGCGCACGGGGUGAGUAACGCGUAUCCAACCUUCCGCUUACUCGGGGAUAGCCUUUCGAAAGAAAGAUUAAUACCCGAUGGUAUCUUAAGCACGCAUGAGAUUAAGAUUAAAGAUUUAUCGGUAAGCGAUGGGGAUGCGUUCCAUUAGGCAGUUGGCGGGGUAACGGCCCACCAAACCUACGAUGGAUAGGGGUUCUGAGAGGAAGGUCCCCCACAUUGGAACUGAGACACGGGUCCAA